UUUCGUAUAUCUAUGUUUAAGUGCUGGAUUCUUACUCCAGUAAAGUGGGUUCACUGCGAAAU
RNAcentral lists this transfer RNA (62 nucleotides) under Caryophyllaeus laticeps. RNAcentral describes it as "tRNA-Lys". Lineage: Eukaryota; Metazoa; Platyhelminthes; Cestoda; Caryophyllidea; Caryophyllaeidae. The record is from RNAcentral.